CCUACGGGAGGCAGCAGUGAGGAAUAUUGGUCAAUGGGCGUGAGUCUGAACCAGCCAAGUCGCGUGAGGGAUGAAGGUCCUAUGGAUUGUAAACUUCUUUUAUAAGGGAAUAAAGCGUGGGACGUGUGCUGUUUUGUAUGUACCAUAUGAAUAAGGAUCGGCUAACUCCGUGCCAGCAGCCGCGGUAAUACGGAGGAUCCGAGCGUUAUCCGGAUUUAUUGGGUUUAAAGGGUGCGUAGGUGGGUUUUUAAGUCAGCUGUGAAAGUCUGCGGCUCAACCCUCGAAUUGCAGUUGAAACUGGGAGGCUUGAGUAUGAUUGAGGCAGGCGGAAGGCGUGGUGUAGCGGUGAAAUGCUUAGAUAUCACGCAGAACCCCGAUUGCGAAGGCAGCUUGCC
Molecule: ribosomal RNA, 395 nt
Filed under: uncultured bacterium
Lineage: Bacteria
Description: partial 16S ribosomal RNA
Rfam family: Bacterial small subunit ribosomal RNA
Source: RNAcentral